CAGAAGACAUUCUGAGCAGCGCCCUAUCGGCGAGCAGCGAACCGUUUCAGGGUAGGUUGAGCUGUGAAGUGGGAAUAAAGGGCAGUGAGGCGGAACCGCGAGUGGAGAGCGCAGAAGUCGGGGAGCUGAUACGUGGAGAGAUUUGUACUGUAAACGGCAAAAGAUGCCAGACAAACCGAGCAACAGUGAGAAGCAGGACAUGUCAGAGGUGAAGAGGUUCAACAGGGGCAGCUUAAAGAAGACAGAAGUCCGAGUAAAGAAUCCACUGCCAACACAAGAGGUGAUUGAGCAAGAGAAGAAGGAAGCGACAAAGGCAGCCUCCUGAUAGCAGCAGCAAACCAGCUUCUUCGUCCAUAUGCAUUCCACAACGCCAACCAGUUUGCUUUAUACACAAGCCCAGCAUAUCCAUAAUCAGAGCACUGUGCCUUGAGGACCCUCGCCUUUCAAUAUUCAAGGCACUUUCCACUUGUAUUUGGUGAUUAUAUUUCGUUGUUGUUUAUUUGUUUUGCUUUUGCCACAGCUUUAAGCGCAGAAAAGUGGAGGUAAUGGAGGCCAGGGUGAGGAUGGCAGAUACUGGGUUAUUGCAUGGCAGACCCCAGCUGGGUUUAGACAAUGUAAUGGUGGUUUGUACCUGUUCUUUUUAUUUCUGUCUUCCAAUUUAAAAAAAACUUCACUCAGUGUUUAAUAUGAAAAUGAAAUAAAAUGUACAUUUGAAAUAAA
This is a long non-coding RNA of Pristis pectinata (smalltooth sawfish), 720 nucleotides long. RefSeq lists it as uncharacterized. The record is from RefSeq and is a predicted model, not a curated record. Lineage: Eukaryota; Metazoa; Chordata; Chondrichthyes; Rhinopristiformes; Pristidae. The transcript is spliced from 3 exons.